UACGUAGGGCGCAAGCGUUGUCCGGAAUUAUUGGGCGUAAAGAGCUCGUAGGCGGCUUGUCGCGUCGGAUGUGAAAGCCCGGGGCUUAACCCCGGGUCUGCAUUCGAUACGGGCAGGCUAGAGUUCGGUAGGGGAGAUCGGAAUUCCUGGUGUAGCGGUGAAAUGCGCAGAUAUCAGGAGGAACACCGGUGGCGAAGGCGGAUCUCUGGGCCUUACCUGACGCUCAGGCGCGAAAGCGUGGGGAGCAAACAGG
This 253-nucleotide ribosomal RNA is filed under the name uncultured bacterium. RNAcentral describes it as "partial 16S ribosomal RNA". It matches the Rfam family "Bacterial small subunit ribosomal RNA", at positions 524 to 776 of the family's 1533-position model. The record is from RNAcentral.